AGCGAACGCUGGCGGCAGGCCUAACACAUGCAAGUCGAACGAACCUUUCGGGGUUAGUGGCGGACGGGUGAGUAACACGUGGGAACGUGCCUUUAGGUUCGGAAUAACUCAGGGAAACUUGUGCUAAUACCGAAUGUGCCCUUCGGGGGAAAGAUUAAUCGCCUUUAGAGCGGCCGCGUCUGAUUAGCUAGUUGGUUGAGGUAAUGGCUCACCAAGGCGACGAUCAGUAGCUGGUCUGAGAGGAUGAUCAGCCACAUUGGGACUGAGACACGGCCCAAACUCCUACGGGAGGCAGCAGUGGGGAAUCUUGCGCAAUGGGCGAAAGCCUGACGCAGCCAUGCCGCGUGAAUGAUGAAAGUCUUAGGAUUGUAAAAUUCUUUCACCGGGGACGAUAAUGACGGUACCCGGAGAAGAAGCCCCGGCUAACUUCGUG
RNAcentral lists this ribosomal RNA (433 nucleotides) under uncultured bacterium. Its description in RNAcentral is "partial 16S ribosomal RNA". It matches the Rfam family "Bacterial small subunit ribosomal RNA", at positions 29 to 507 of the family's 1533-position model. The record is from RNAcentral.